GAUGAACGCUGGCGGCGUGCCUAAUACAUGCAAGUCGAGCGAACAGACGAGGAGCUUGCUCCUCUGACGUUAGCGGCGGACGGGUGAGUAACACGUGGAUAACCUACCUAUAAGACUGGGAUAACUUCGGGAAACCGGAGCUAAUACCGGAUAACAUGUUGAACCGCAUGGUUCAACAGUGAAAGACGGUUUUGCUGUCACUUAUAGAUGGAUCCGCGUCGCAUUAGCUAGUUGGUAAGGUAACGGCUUACCAAGGCAACGAUGCGUAGCCGACCUGAGAGGGUGAUCGGCCACACUGGAACUGAGCCACGGUCCAGACUCCUACGGGAGGCAGCAGUAGGGAAUCUUCCGCAAUGGGCGAAAGCCUGACGGAGCAACGCCGCGUGAGUGAAGAAGGUCUUCGGAUCGUAAAACUCUGUUAUUAGGGAAGAACAAAUGUGUAAGUAACUAUGCACGUCUUGACGGUACCUAAUCAGAAAGCCACGGCUAACUACGUG
This 497-nucleotide ribosomal RNA is filed under the name uncultured bacterium. RNAcentral's name for it is "partial 16S ribosomal RNA". It matches the Rfam family "Bacterial small subunit ribosomal RNA", at positions 28 to 507 of the family's 1533-position model. The record is from RNAcentral.